RNAcentral lists this ribosomal RNA (794 nucleotides) under Acinetobacter baumannii. Its description in RNAcentral is "bacterial SSU rRNA". It matches the Rfam family "Bacterial small subunit ribosomal RNA", at positions 78 to 863 of the family's 1533-position model. The record is from RNAcentral. Lineage: Bacteria; Pseudomonadati; Pseudomonadota; Gammaproteobacteria; Moraxellales; Moraxellaceae.
GCUUGCUACCGGACCUAGCGGCGGACGGGUGAGUAAUGCUUAGGAAUCUGCCUAUUAGUGGGGGACAACAUCUCGAAAGGGAUGCUAAUACCGCAUACGUCCUACGGGAGAAAGCAGGGGAUCUUCGGACCUUGCGCUAAUAGAUGAGCCUAAGUCGGAUUAGCUAGUUGGUGGGGUAAAGGCCUACCAAGGCGACGAUCUGUAGCGGGUCUGAGAGGAUGAUCCGCCACACUGGGACUGAGACACGGCCCAGACUCCUACGGGAGGCAGCAGUGGGGAAUAUUGGACAAUGGGGGGAACCCUGAUCCAGCCAUGCCGCGUGUGUGAAGAAGGCCUUAUGGUUGUAAAGCACUUUAAGCGAGGAGGAGGCUACUUUAGUUAAUACCUAGAGAUAGUGGACGUUACUCGCAGAAUAAGCACCGGCUAACUCUGUGCCAGCAGCCGCGGUAAUACAGAGGGUGCGAGCGUUAAUCGGAUUUACUGGGCGUAAAGCGUGCGUAGGCGGCUUAUUAAGUCGGAUGUGAAAUCCCCGAGCUUAACUUGGGAAUUGCAUUCGAUACUGGUGAGCUAGAGUAUGGGAGAGGAUGGUAGAAUUCCAGGUGUAGCGGUGAAAUGCGUAGAGAUCUGGAGGAAUACCGAUGGCGAAGGCAGCCAUCUGGCCUAAUACUGACGCUGAGGUACGAAAGCAUGGGGGAGCAAACAGGAUUAGAUACCCUGGUAGUCCAUGCCGUAAACGAUGUCUACUAGCCGUUGGGGGCCUUUGAAGGCUUUAGUGGCCGCACCUAACGCGGAUA